CCCAAAAACCGAAAAACAUGUUUAUCUCGGCUUCUGCUUGUUAUCCCAGUAAACAUGCUUAUCUCAGUUCUCACUGUCGUUUCCCAUGCAUGAAGUUGCACGUAUACAGGAUGUAUAGAAGAUAUAUGGAAAAGGGGAGGGGGUUGGACGGACCCUGGGAAAGGAAUGUGAAGGACGGGAAGCUAAACAGAUGUAUCCUGAUUACUACUAGAACUGAAUUUAAACAAUGCAUAGGUUAGCAGAAUUUAGACAUGCUAAGUUGUUUGUCUCUCUGUAUAAAAGAAGCCCAGUUGUGCUUGUAAGAUGUGUUCCUCCCUCUGGCAUGAGUCGAGGGGGACACCCGCUCAGCUGACUGAUCAAUAAAGAACUUGAAGCAGUCUUCUAGACUCCCGUGCCUCCUUGGGGUAAUUGGGCAGCUCCAGGGGGAAACGAGCCCAUUUGGCUAACAAUGGCGACUCCGCCGGGACUUCUCUCCCUGUAGAGGGCACUGACCGACGGCCGAGGGCGAUUCCGAGGAGUGGCCACCUUGAGCUGUUGCUUUGCUCGGGCCUCGGAUCGUCACAAUCGGCCGGGGCGGCUGCGUCCUCUCUGAAGAGAACUCUGAAGGACACGGAAGCAAGACGGCUUCAGAAGGAGGGGAAGUCUGACUGCCGGACGUGGCCACUUCGGGCGCUGCAUCGAUACGCGGUGCCUUUUCGGGGCCUUCCCUUGGACCAGCCCGUGCACCCGUUCCAGAUCGGUGAUCAGGUCCUUGUCAAGAAGUGGAAGCGUGACCCCCUUACACCACGGUGGGACGGCCCACACACUGUCUCGCUCAUCAGCCAAGCUGCAGUCAAAGUUCUUGGGAGUGACAAAUGGACACACCAUACGCGGGUAAAGCUGUUUCUGAACCCUAACCCGGAGACUGAACUAGCGGAAGAGGACACCAGCCCUCUGCCCGCCCCGGCUCCGGACGCCCGGGGUGGCACAGGUGAAGACUCCACCUGGGAGUAUCAGUACUUGGACGGACUAAAGGGACUGUUUAGAAAAAGAUAAUGAAAUUAUUGUUAAUAUCUUUGUUUAUGUGCUUCCACCACUAUUAUGGUUGGGAAAAUAGGUUUUUACAGCUGGGGGGAGACAAUAGCAAAAUCCAUUAACCUCAGUAACUGUUGGGUAUGCGGAGGCCCAGGGGAAUUAAAUGAAUGGCCUUGGGUAGCCCAGCCGGUACAGCCCAAAUGGUGGCUCAGCAAUUUGAGUAUAGUCCACGAUGGAACGGGGGUUUGGACUGAGGAUAGUAGCCCCUGGCGACUGUAUUCUUCAGGAAUGGGUAUUCUCUGCCUUAAUCGGACAAGGCGGGAGGGAGUGUACUUGGGAGAAAGCAAGUGUGAUUGGACUCUAUCCCCAGGGUUUGAUUGCUGGGACCCUUAUUGUCAUCUGUAUGACUGUUCUAAAUAUCAGGGGCAAUGGAACCAGACCCAUGUGAGGCUCACCAAUAAUAGUUGGGUGAAAUGCUCCAAACAAUACUACCCUACGGCCGAAGGUUGCAGGGCGGUAGGACAGGAUGGGUUCUUUGACGCCCUAUUCACGAGUUGCCAGCUAGACAAUACCACUAGCAAGGACCACGUGGUACGGUGGUUUCAAAUGGGCAUGGCAGAAUCAGAAUGGAACUCGAGUAUGGGGUUUUAAACAAUUCUGGUCUAGCACCAAUCAGCCAAAAUGGGGCUGCGAUUGUGUCUGGAAAGCAGGAGCUGGGGCGUGGAGAUGUGAUUAUUGCAGUUCAGCUGAUGGAAUGGUGGGGGGACCUUUAGGGCCAGGUAAUCCUUUAUAUUUUGACCAUCUAUAGGACGAUGAGAAUGAGGAAACCUGGGAUGACCCCUUUGCUAAUGGAACCUGGGCUCUAAAGGACCAUUAUUGGAUCUGCGGGUCCUAUGCCUACUGAAGAUUGCCUCCAAAUUGGUCUGGGAUAUGUUAUGUUGGAUAUAUAAGACCCUUGUUCUUUCUAUUACCCCAGAUGCAGGGAAAUAAAUUGGGAAUUAAGGUUUAAUUAGAGAAAGGCGGUUCGUGGAUUCCACCCUGACCGCCGGAAGCUCCCAAACAUGGGGGGCUCAGGAGUGGCCCCCUGAGAGAAUUAUAAAACAUUAUGGUCCAGCUACAUGGAAUCCUAAUGAGUGGAUCUCAGGGGCAAGGGAGCCCAUUUACAACUUGAAUCGGAUAAUUAGGCUGCAAGCCAUUUUAGAAAUAAUAACUAAUCAGACGGCUGCAGCUCUUGAUCUUUUGGCCGAUCAGUCCACUCAGAUAAGGAAUGUGCUCUACCAGCACCAUCUAGUUCUUGAUUAUUUGCUGGCAGAAGAAGGGGGAAUCUGUGCAAAAUUAAACUAAUCUAAUUGCUGUUUACAAAUAGAUGAUAAUGGAAAGGCGGUAAAACAGCUAACAAAAGAAAUGAGGAAGCUAGCCCAUGUCCCGGUCCAAACAUGGGGUGGGUGGAAUAUGGACUGGUUCACGUCCUGGUUACCGCAACUGGGAUGGCUCCGAGAAGGCCUUCUUCUCUUUGUACUCUUUAUUACAACCCUAUUAACCCUAGCUUGCUUUGCUCCCUGUGUAGUUGCAUUAGUCCAACAAAUGGCUAAUCAAAUUAUACACCAACAAAUGAUGGCCCUAUACCAGCCGGUGAAGGCUGAGGAUUGGGGGCCAUAAGGCUCUCAAAAUGCUUUUUAGGGGGGAAUCUUGUUAGGCCCAAAAACCGAAAAACAUGUUUAUCUCGGCUUCUGCUUGUUAUCCCAGUAAACAUGCUUAUCUCAGUUCUCACUGUCGUUUCCCAUGCAUGAAGUUGCACGUAUACAGGAUGUAUAGAAGAUAUAUGGAAAAGGGGAGGGGGUUGGACGGACCCUGGGAAAGGAAUGUGAAGGACGGGAAGCUAAACAGAUGUAUCCUGAUUACUACUAGAACUGAAUUUAAACAAUGCAUAGGUUAGCAGAAUUUAGACAUGCUAAGUUGUUUGUCUCUCUGUAUAAAAGAAGCCCAGUUGUGCUUGUAAGAUGUGUUCCUCCCUCUGGCAUGAGUCGAGGGGGACACCCGCUCAGCUGACUGAUCAAUAAAGAACUUGAAGCAGUCUUCUAGACUCCCGUGCCUCCUUGGGGUAAUUGGGCAGCUCCAGGGGGAAACGAGCCCAUUUGGCUAACACCAGGGCAGGAGGUGGAGGAUCCCUCUCCCAGCACCAGCAGCUCGGCCCGCUCCCCAUGGGACAGCAGCAGCGCCUGGGACUCGAGCAGCAUCGUGGCCGAUGGAUGCUUCUGCUUUGUUCCAGGGACUGCCAGGGACUCAGAGGAUGAGGAGGAAUGGG
This is a long non-coding RNA of Malaclemys terrapin pileata, 3319 nucleotides long. RefSeq lists it as uncharacterized. Lineage: Eukaryota; Metazoa; Chordata; Testudines; Emydidae. The transcript is spliced from 3 exons. The record is from RefSeq and is a predicted model, not a curated record.